AACCGGACCACAGCACGGUUCGCAGGCGCAGAGCAGCCGCUUGGUGCACGCAGACUCCGGCGCAGCGGGCGCUGUAAAAUCGCGCAGAGCCUCCCCCUGCAGCUGCGCUCCAGCCCAGGCGUGCACAGGGGGACAGAUAAGUCGCAGCAGCGAGCCAUGGCUCCGAAGAGCGGGGACGGGAUUCAAAGGCACGUAGCCCAGCCCGAAAGCUAACAGCCGCCGCUCCCCGGGCACCAUGAAGAAAGACUUGCCUGUGUCCUUAGCUGGACUCAAAAGCAGCGAGCCUAGUCUGUCCUUGUCUCCAGUGCUAGCCCCGGCGACCGCUCUGCUGGAGGAGGCUGCGGAUCUGCUGGUGGUGCACCUGGACUUCGCUGCUGCUCUGGACAGGUGUGAGCGGGGCUGCGAGAGCCUCGCCUCGGACCCUGGCUGUGAAAGCUCUGCGGAAGUAAAAUGCUCCCUGUGCAUUGUGGGGAUCCAGGCCCUGGCAGAGAUGAACCGGUGGAGAGAAGUUCUGUCCUGGGUCCUGCAGUAUUACCAGGUCCCUGAACAGCUGCCUCCAAAAAUUCUGGAACUGUGCAUCCUUUUAUAUAGCAAAGUGAAGGAGCCCCAUGUGAUGCUGGAAGUUGACAGUUAUUGGCUGAGAGAUUUAACCAAUCAGAGCCUGCCUUCGUAUGGCACCUUAAUGGAGUUACAUGUGUUGCAUGUGUUGCUCCCCCUUGGACAAUUUGUGGAGGCAGAGGAGCUGGUACAGAGCUGUGAAGCUUUCAGCAAGGAGCAACAACUUGAGGCCCUGAGGACCAUUAGUGAGAGGAGGUGUCGGUGGGUACAGCAAGAAGAGACACAAUCAUCCCCUGAAGACCAACCAGCUACAGUGAGGCAGAAGCUGUUAGAUCCCUCAGCUUGGAUCCUUCCCAAAUGUUCAGGAGAAAAGAUGGACUUUGCAGCAUGUCCAGAAGGCCAGCAAAUCAGGCUCUGUGUCCCGAAAGUUAUUGACCAUAUUAACAAUGCUGCGUAGAGCACUGGGAUGCAUGUUAAGCCACUUCUGUUCCAGCCCUUUCAAAAAGACGCUGUUGGCUGCUCUCAUACUAUGCCUUGUUGUGGUGAGACUAGACCCCGCGGCUCCCACGUCUCUUCCCUUCCUUUACAAGCUGGUCCAGCUCUGCCAUCAGGCAUGGGUGACUGUAUUUUCUCCUCUCCAUAGGCCUCCAGUUCAAGACUAAGCAGUUUUAUGAUGUAUUUUCAAGUCUUUUGUCUCUGUUGCUGCGCAAGUGGCACUUUGUCUUUUAAGGAUUUUAAUCAGGCUUUUUGAGGGUGCUUGAAACCAAUGUACUAAUUAAAAUGACUACGAGUGGGCUCCUGUGAGUGACACCUUCCUCUCUUGCCAGACUGGGAACCCGGUCGAAUGCUGUCUGGGUUUUGAAACUGCCUCAGCGACUCACCUCCCUGUGCUGUGCAGCUCUGCAGCACAGUACUAACCCUGCUGGAAUGGACGUGUGAAUCCAUGUCUUGUCUUGAUGCCCCUUUGAAGUGGUGGCUUUUGGUGUGGGUCCCCAAAGGAGAGGUUGUAGCCAAUGGCAAAGAACAAUGAAGGCCUGCUGAGAGACUGCACCACCUUUGCAAAUGGUUUUGAAGUCACCUGAGCAGUGGGAGUGGACUUUCAGCAGGUUUGGUUAUGAAAGAUCUUGAGUACCACAUCUACACCAAACUCUAGGAGCCAAAAAACUGUCCUGUCUUGGGACCCACUUUUAAAUGUCCAGUUUCUGCAGCAUGGGAUUUAAACCAAAUAUGUGGAACAUGGUUAAAAUAUUGCAGACUGAAAAUGGAGCCUGUUCUUUUGAGGGCCAGAGUUUCUAUUGUGACCCUGAUGUAUCUUGGCUUAGACUUUCACACUUUGAAUUUAACAGUUGUGGCUAAGCAAAAAAUACCAAGGAGAUGGGAUGCAUAGACCCAUCAGUCCAUUCUGUCCUGUCUGGGUAUACUACAUCCAGUGCAAGCAAUUAUACACAUUUCUCUUUUCUGAUGAUCAUUAAUACUAAAUAUUUGACACUGGAUAAGUUAGAAGAGGGGACUGCAGAUAAAUGGCAAUGGUGACAAUGAUUAAUCUUAAUAUGCUCCAUAUGUCUAACCUGCCCCGUUACUUGAAUUAUGUAGUUUCACUGCAUAUUUUGUGUGUCUGUAUCUUAUGGUGACAAGCUUUCUACUUAGGUAUUUAGAUUUAAAUACAAAAGACUCCUACUCAAAUGUCUAGCUGUUACAACAAGUACUUAGAAUCAUACCCCACAACGUGUAAUCAUCUAGCAGCAAAACUGCACUCUUUCACAUCAAGAGUAAAUAACAGGUCUCAAAAUACAUUUCCCCUGCUACCCAAACCCUUAUAUCCCCACUCCUCACCAAAAACCCUAGCCCAUGCAUCUGUAGUGCACAUCUUGCCAUCCUAUCUCUACAAGCUUAGUUACUGAUUCAUCAUUUCGAAGACUUUCAUCAUAAAAUAAUCUACAAAGACUGUAAGGAGAGACUCUGGGUUUGUUUACAUUGUGUGGUAAUGGGUUCCAGGGGGCAGAGGGUAUGAUUUGUAAAAUGCACUAGCUUGCAUAUUACUUGGUCUGUGUAUUCCCUCCUGGGAUAUGCCCUAAAAGUUUCCUACCUUGUUUUAACGUAGGACUGUUUCAAACAGCAUUAUGUUAAAGUGCACUAAGGAAUUUCUCGGGCACACCAGUAGGAUCUACAUGGUCUGAUAUAUAUGCAACUCAUUAGUAAGCUUUAGAACUCACACUCCUGUAGAGUGUGUUGUCACACUGUAGAUAAGCCCUCUUUGUAACUCAUGUAAGGAUGACUAUUUUAUACUUCCCAAUUUCCUAUACUGUAGGAUCUAACUAUGUACAGGCAGUCCCCAGGUUACGUACAAGAUAGGGACUGUAGGUUUGUUCUUAAGUUGAAUCUGUAUGUAAGUCGGAACUGGCGUCCAGAUUC
RNA transcript from Pelodiscus sinensis (Chinese soft-shelled turtle), 2970 nucleotides. It is a transcript of the gene named peroxisomal biogenesis factor 26, with no coding region annotated. Lineage: Eukaryota; Metazoa; Chordata; Testudines; Trionychidae. The record is from RefSeq and is a predicted model, not a curated record.